Long non-coding RNA from Astatotilapia calliptera (eastern happy), 2027 nucleotides. The record is from Ensembl. Lineage: Eukaryota; Metazoa; Chordata; Actinopteri; Cichliformes; Cichlidae.
UAUAUUUUAACUCAAAAGUACAGUUUUUAAAUUUAACCCUAACCCUUGUGCGUGUUUUUUAUUUUGACAGCGAAUGCGCACCUGCGGACCACUUAUGUGCAGCCCUGGUUAUUUAGCUCGUCAUAUCGCAGCCACAGAAAUUCUUUUGUCCAUGAAACCAUAAAGCUGCACUUUCUUUUUGCCUUAUAGUCUGAUUUGUCAUAACUUCUCCGUUUUGUGGUAAGCUUUUCUUUGGCUGUCACUUCUUCACCCUGACCUGUCUUAUUUGGCUCAGCAGAACUGAAAUAUAUAUCCUGCUGCUUUUACACACACACACACCGGUCAGCGAUUCUCUGCGCGAUCAACCUCUCACAUGUUUAAGCUGCGGGAGAUUUCACUUGUCAUGUUUGCAUAGUAAGCUAACGAUUAAUAAGACGAUGUCAGAGGAAUUGGUGCGCAAAUUAUCAUCACUCACAGAUCAGUACUGUCGCUCUCUAUACACAGUUCGCACGAUUGCAAAGUGAAAGCAAAAAAACGAGCGCAAAUUCAAACGCGACUUCAAUAUGUCACAUAUUGACAGUGGCUCACCGAUGCCAAUGACAUAAUUACCCAGCUACAUUUCUGAAAUAAUGCAAAAGCAUUGACAUAUAUUUUUCCUACAAUAGCCCGACGGGCAGGGCAGAGAUAGAUUUUGGUAGCCCGACUGAAAAAAUCGCUAGCUCCGGGACGUCGGGCUAGCGAUAUUGCAAGCCCUGUAUCUGAUUGAGGAAUCACUCAUCUUUGGAAAAGAGAGUUUAUUACAGAGAAAUGGCUCUUUCCAAAAUAAAAGCUAUACUAUCCGCUUCUUCUGGGCUAUAUUCUCAGCAGCAUAAGGAGAAUCAUGUGCUAACAGCUGUCUAAAUGACUCAGCUAAAGUUAGUAGCAUGCUUGCUUUUUUUUGUCUGCUUCCACUUGUCUUUGCACUAGGAUGAUGUCGGCGUAAAUGUGCAGUCAUAUUCGUUGUGUUCCCACUAGUGCUUUCAGGUUAAUCUCGUUGAAAUGACCUUAACGCCACAACACGGCAAAUCUCCAUUAACGAGCUACCGCCGAUUGCUCCGUGCAUGGGGCUAGACGGCCAACACGUUAACGAGCUAACUGCGCUAGCACACUAGUUCACACCAAUGUAAUUGAGCAUUGCAUGGCACAUCCAACAUACUGUUUUACUUUAGUCCAUGACUCGCUUACCUUCAGGGUCAUACGUCACAUGAAAACCAAAAUAAUUCCAAACGCCAGAUCUGAAUGAGGGUGGGGAGGUCCACUUCUGUCUCGCUAGCUUGCCCUGCGCUCUUCCUUCUGACUAUGCUGUCUGUGUUGAGCGCUCAGUGGAUCUGCGCUGGACAGUGCAGCCUAGGCGGAGUAGUCGAACACAGAUUCACUGAGCGCUCAACACAGACAGCAUCGUCAGAAGGAAAAUUGAUAAAAUAAAUUACAAAUGUUGUAUUGUUCGAUACAUAUGCGUACCGAACCGAAAGCACUGUAUCGAACGGUUCAAUAUCGAUACGAAUAUCGUUGCACCCCUAAUAUAUAGUUAUAGUAAACUGCUACACAUCUGAGAGUGGCCUCUGUCUGGUUGUGAGCGUUAGUGGGUGAGGUGAGAGGUGACACAGAGUGCCAAUUGAGGUCAGGACACACACACACAUACACACUGUAGGUAGGCUUAUGUUCUAGGUGAGAGUUCAGACAUAUUUUGCUUGUAACUGCAUUUUUGUGCGUGCAGAAUUUCUAGUUUGUUGCAGAGCAUGGCCCGAGGUUUUGGAGAAGCGAGAGCGAGCUACCGGAAGCACCUGGCGUGGAGGCGAAGAAGAUGCUCUUUCAAACAGUGUUAAAGUCGUUAACGGAGCAUUUGUGGUUUUGAAACUUAUGCAUGUGAUGAUGCAUGAGGGGGCGUCAUAAAAUUAAACCCUGAUGGUAUAAAACAACUGCUUGUGUAUUGUUAGGGAGAUCGAUGCUGUCUGAGUACAGUGUUCAUCUCCCACACGUGUGUUCAUUAAAAUCAUCAUUUGACUCCA